RNAcentral lists this ribosomal RNA (1414 nucleotides) under Lactiplantibacillus plantarum. RNAcentral describes it as "bacterial SSU rRNA". It matches the Rfam family "Bacterial small subunit ribosomal RNA". The record is from RNAcentral. Lineage: Bacteria; Bacillati; Bacillota; Bacilli; Lactobacillales; Lactobacillaceae.
UGCAGUCGACGAACUCUGGUAUUGAUUGGUGCUUGCAUCAUGAUUUACAUUUGAGUGAGUGGCGAACUGGUGAGUAACACGUGGGAAACCUGCCCAGAAGCGGGGGAUAACACCUGGAAACAGAUGCUAAUACCGCAUAACAACUUGGACCGCAUGGUCCGAGCUUGAAAGAUGGCUUCGGCUAUCACUUUUGGAUGGUCCCGCGGCGUAUUAGCUAGAUGGUGGGGUAACGGCUCACCAUGGCAAUGAUACGUAGCCGACCUGAGAGGGUAAUCGGCCACAUUGGGACUGAGACACGGCCCAAACUCCUACGGGAGGCAGCAGUAGGGAAUCUUCCACAAUGGACGAAAGUCUGAUGGAGCAACGCCGCGUGAGUGAAGAAGGGUUUCGGCUCGUAAAACUCUGUUGUUAAAGAAGAACAUAUCUGAGAGUAACUGUUCAGGUAUUGACGGUAUUUAACCAGAAAGCCACGGCUAACUACGUGCCAGCAGCCGCGGUAAUACGUAGGUGGCAAGCGUUGUCCGGAUUUAUUGGGCGUAAAGCGAGCGCAGGCGGUUUUUUAAGUCUGAUGUGAAAGCCUUCGGCUCAACCGAAGAAGUGCAUCGGAAACUGGGAAACUUGAGUGCAGAAGAGGACAGUGGAACUCCAUGUGUAGCGGUGAAAUGCGUAGAUAUAUGGAAGAACACCAGUGGCGAAGGCGGCUGUCUGGUCUGUAACUGACGCUGAGGCUCGAAAGUAUGGGUAGCAAACAGGAUUAGAUACCCUGGUAGUCCAUACCGUAAACGAUGAAUGCUAAGUGUUGGAGGGUUUCCGCCCUUCAGUGCUGCAGCUAACGCAUUAAGCAUUCCGCCUGGGGAGUACGGCCGCAAGGCUGAAACUCAAAGGAAUUGACGGGGGCCCGCACAAGCGGUGGAGCAUGUGGUUUAAUUCGAAGCUACGCGAAGAACCUUACCAGGUCUUGACAUACUAUGCAAAUCUAAGAGAUUAGACGUUCCCUUCGGGGACAUGGAUACAGGUGGUGCAUGGUUGUCGUCAGCUCGUGUCGUGAGAUGUUGGGUUAAGUCCCGCAACGAGCGCAACCCUUAUUAUCAGUUGCCAGCAUUAAGUUGGGCACUCUGGUGAGACUGCCGGUGACAAACCGGAGGAAGGUGGGGAUGACGUCAAAUCAUCAUGCCCCUUAUGACCUGGGCUACACACGUGCUACAAUGGAUGGUACAACGAGUUGCGAACUCGCGAGAGUAAGCUAAUCUCUUAAAGCCAUUCUCAGUUCGGAUUGUAGGCUGCAACUCGCCUACAUGAAGUCGGAAUCGCUAGUAAUCGCGGAUCAGCAUGCCGCGGUGAAUACGUUCCCGGGCCUUGUACACACCGCCCGUCACACCAUGAGAGUUUGUAACACCCAAAGUCGGUGGGGUAA